AACCCUUGUUUACUCAGGAUUCCUGUCUUGAUCAAGAUUCCAUCUUUCCUCGUAAGCCUAGUCCAUGAAGGAGAGGUCCAAACCAGUCCAAUAUGGAGAAGAAGAUCUAAAUUCGGCAGAAUUUCAAGAAUAUCUAAGCCCUUGAAAAUCCGGAUUAAAUCGGGAGAAUUCCUGUGCACGUCUGUCAACUUCAACGGACUCUCCAGGACGGCUCACAAUGAAUCAGAAAACGUGCCAGAUAUGGAUAGAAAGCUACGGGAGUCUAGUUUCCAAAUCAAUUGGAAUCACCUCAAUAUCUGUUUUCUAGAGGGAGUUAUGACGCAAUCAUCAGACGGAGGUCAUUCUGCCGAAAGGGAGAAAAACUAGGAAUCCUAAACCAAUUUGGUUUAGGCUUUGUGGCCGACUUCUCUAGGGUUUUUCCUCUAUAUAAAGCACGACUUCAAGGACAGAAGAGCAUCAUCAACCCGUGCAAAUAACACCAAAGCCUUUGCCGAAACUCCAUCAACCUCCAAACACCACAAUCCGAUCCCACCUUCAGCAUUCGUCCAAAGCAAGUAGCCUAGGACUCCGCGCACUCGAAGAAUAGAACAAGUAGGGAUAUUCUGAGAGUGUAUUUCAUCUUCUAUUUUCGGAUUGCUAUGUGNNNN
Molecule: long non-coding RNA, 647 nt
Filed under: Fragaria vesca (wild strawberry)
Lineage: Eukaryota; Viridiplantae; Streptophyta; Magnoliopsida; Rosales; Rosaceae
Description: long non-coding RNA (FVES_LNC003495)
Source: RNAcentral